This is a long non-coding RNA of Pangasianodon hypophthalmus (striped catfish), 281 nucleotides long. RefSeq lists it as uncharacterized. Lineage: Eukaryota; Metazoa; Chordata; Actinopteri; Siluriformes; Pangasiidae. The record is from RefSeq and is a predicted model, not a curated record. The transcript has 3 exons.
UUCGUUAAGGCGUGUUUGCUCCACGGAGUUUCCUUAAAAUCAGACAGUUUCCUCCAGGUUCUCUGGUUUCCUCCCACCUCCCAUUAACAUGCAGGAUCCUGCAGCUGAUCCAGUUGAGCUGGAAUGAGGCAAGUCUUCUGGGGUUGUGGAAAGCCAGAGCACUUGACUACGCCUAAGUAAAAGUGGGAGGAGCUAGAUGUGCAGGUGCUGUUGACAGCAGCAUUACACCAGACCAACCCGUCAUAUCUUCAAGUGAAGGCAGCAGCACCACACUGACCUGC